UGGGGAAUAUUGGACAAUGGGCGGAAGCCUGAUCCAGCAACGCCGCGUGAGGGAUGACGGCCUUCGGGUUGUAAACCUCUUUCAGCGGGGACGAAGCGCAAGUGACGGUACCCGCAGAAGAAGCACCGGCCAACUACGUGCCAGCAGCCGCGGUAAUACGUAGGGUGCGAGCGUUGUCCGGAAUUAUUGGGCGUAAAGGCUCGUAGGCGGUUUGUCGCGUCGGGAGUGAAAACGCCGGGCUUAACUCGGUGCUUGCUUUCGAUACGGGCAGACUAGAGGCAUGCAGGGGAGAACGGAAUUCCUGGUGUAGCGGUGAAAUGCGCAGGUAUCAGGAGGAACACCGGUGGCGAAGGCGGUUCUCUGGGCAUGUCCUGACGCUGAGGAGCGAAAGUGUGGGGAGCGAACAGGAUUAGAUACCCUGGUAGGUCCACACCGUAAAACGUUGGGCGCUAGGUGUGGGGAUCCAUUCCACGGGGUUUCCGUGCCGCAGCUAACGCAUUAAGCGCCCCGCCU
This 513-nucleotide ribosomal RNA is filed under the name uncultured bacterium. RNAcentral's name for it is "partial 16S ribosomal RNA". It matches the Rfam family "Bacterial small subunit ribosomal RNA", at positions 355 to 874 of the family's 1533-position model. The record is from RNAcentral.